Molecule: ribosomal RNA, 411 nt
Filed under: uncultured bacterium
Lineage: Bacteria
Description: bacterial SSU rRNA
Rfam family: Bacterial small subunit ribosomal RNA
Source: RNAcentral
UUGCUCAAUGGGAGAAAUCCUGAAGCAGCAACGCCGCGUGGAGGAUGAAGGGUCUAUGACUUGUAAACUCCUGUAAAGAAGGAAAAAAUUCCCAUUAGAUGGGAGAUGAUGGUACUUCUGGAGUAAGCCCCGGCUAACUACGUGCCAGCAGCCGCGGUAAUACGUAGGGGGCAAGCGUUGUCCGGAUUUACUGGGUGUAAAGGGUGCUCAGGCGGAUUUGUAAGUCAGAGGUGAAAUCUUACAGCUUAACUGUGAAACUGCCUUUGAUACUGCAAGCCUAGAGUAUGGAAGAGAGUGAUGGAAUAUCUGGUGUAGCAGUGAAAUGCGUAGAUAUCAGAUAGAACACCAAUGGCGAAGGCAGUCACUUGGUCCAUUACUGACGCUAAAGCACGAAAGCGUGGGUAGCAAACA